CUCUGUGAUGAUCCCAUGACACGUUUAGGCAUUCCUCAUUCUUAAUUUUCAUGUCGAAUCUGUCCUUACAAGUUUCAGCCUUGUCUGACA
Molecule: small nucleolar RNA, 90 nt
Filed under: Phaeomoniella chlamydospora
Lineage: Eukaryota; Fungi; Ascomycota; Eurotiomycetes; Phaeomoniellales; Phaeomoniellaceae
Description: A. fumigatus snoRNA Afu_455
Rfam family: A. fumigatus snoRNA Afu_455
Source: Rfam by way of RNAcentral